AGAGUUUGAUUCUGGCUCAGGAUGAACGCUAGCUACAGGCUUAACACAUGCAAGUCGAGGGGCAGCAUGAUUGAAGCUUGCUUCAAUCGAUGGCGACCGGCGCACGGGUGAGUAACACGUAUCCAACCUGCCGAUAACUCGGGGAUAGCCUUUCGAAAGAAAGAUUAAUACCCGAUAGCAUAGUAUUUCCGCAUGGUUUCACUAUUAAAGAACUUCGGUUAUCGAUGGGGAUGCGUUCCAUUAGAUAGUUGGCGGGGUAACGGCCCACCAAGUCAACGAUGGAUAGGGGUUCUGAGAGGAAGGUCCCCCACAUUGGAACUGAGACACGGUCCAA
This 334-nucleotide ribosomal RNA is filed under the name uncultured bacterium. Its description in RNAcentral is "bacterial SSU rRNA". It matches the Rfam family "Bacterial small subunit ribosomal RNA", at positions 8 to 334 of the family's 1533-position model. The record is from RNAcentral.